CAGGUGGGCCUAAGUGGAUCGAAAUCACAUUCGCAAUGCGAAGGUCGGGAGUUCGAUCCUCCUCCGCCCAA
RNAcentral lists this transfer RNA (71 nucleotides) under Burkholderia sp. Bp9031. RNAcentral's name for it is "tRNA-Ala". The record is from RNAcentral. Lineage: Bacteria; Pseudomonadati; Pseudomonadota; Betaproteobacteria; Burkholderiales; Burkholderiaceae.